GACGAACGCUGGCGGCGUGCCUAAUACAUGCAAGUAGAACGCUGAAGGAGGAGCUUGCUUCUCUGGAUGAGUUGCGAACAGGUGAGUAACGCGUAGGUAACCUGCCUGGUAGCGGGGGAUAACUAUUGGAAACGAUAGCUAAUACCGCAUAAGAGUAGAUGUUGCAUGACAUUUGCUUAAAAGGUGCAAUUGCAUCACUACCAGAUGGACCUGCGUUGUAUUAGCUAGUUGGUGGGGUAACGGCUCACCAAGGCGACGAUACAUAGCCGACCUGAGAGGGUGAUCGGCCACACUGGGACUGAGACACGGCCCAGACUCCUACGGGAGGCAGCAGUAGGGAAUCUUCGGCAAUGGACGGAAGUCUGACCGAGCAACGCCGCGUGAGUGAAGAAGGGUGUCGGAUCGUAAAGCUCUGUUGUAAGAGAAGAACGAGUGUGAGAGUGGAAAGUUCACACUGUGACGGUAUCUUACCAGAAAGGGACGGCUAACUACGUG
Molecule: ribosomal RNA, 495 nt
Filed under: uncultured bacterium
Lineage: Bacteria
Description: partial 16S ribosomal RNA
Rfam family: Bacterial small subunit ribosomal RNA
Source: RNAcentral